Molecule: small nucleolar RNA, 134 nt
Organism: Oryctolagus cuniculus (rabbit)
Lineage: Eukaryota; Metazoa; Chordata; Mammalia; Lagomorpha; Leporidae
Source: Ensembl
GGCCUCAUUCUAGAUGAGAAUGGGCACUGGUGACUGUGGUAUCCAAAAUUAUCAUUAUGGCUAAACUGAGACACAGGUCAUGCUUCUAUCACAGUAAACGAACUGCAGUGGUGACAAGAAGACCUCUAACAUUU